This is a long non-coding RNA of Vollenhovia emeryi, 2614 nucleotides long. RefSeq lists it as uncharacterized. The transcript has 3 exons. The record is from RefSeq and is a predicted model, not a curated record. NCBI's taxonomy places the organism in Eukaryota, Metazoa, Arthropoda, Insecta, Hymenoptera, Formicidae.
CUUUUUACAAACUUUAAAUUAGAAAUGCUGCGGCAGCGAGGAAAACCUCACACGGCGUCGUCGCGCGUCGACCGGACUCUCGGCAGAGGCUGCACCGCGAGUAACAUCGCCUCCACCAUGCCACGAUGCUGCGUACUAACACUAGCUGUGUGGUGGGAACAGGAUUCUCGGCCAUCGAGCCGCGUAAGGGCCGCGCGACCGGACCGCGUAGCGCAAUCUGGCGCGAUAGCGACACACUCGCUAAUGGAACGCCGCAUGAUAAGGGGCUCGAUUACCGGUUUUGGGAAUACGUUCUCCGGUCUGACUGUCAGUCGUGUAAACGAAGAAGGAAGCGCGAAGGAGGAUGUAAAGAGAACACGCGGACCGAUAAGAGCGGGCUGCUGUGCGUCGACCGCCGUCGCUUCCCGAAAGCGUAUUAUUAAUUCCACGCAAAUAUGAGAAAGAGUAUCGUCGCGAGCGCACAUUCAUUCCCUAACUAGGGUUUAGGACUCUCCAAUAAUGAAAAACAAGGGAAAACCUGAGAAUCUUGAAAUAAGCAAACGCGACGAAUUCGCGAGUGACGAGACGACCAUCGCUUGGAUCGCUAAGGGAGCUUUUACAAGAACUUUUACAAUGAUGAUGAAGACAAAUCAGGAAGUUUCUAGGGGGUCAAUUCUGUAUCUUGCAAUGCAGUGAAAACCGGUGGGUAAACCGCAGAAGGCAUUGUGGUGUGCAGAUUUACAUCACUAUCCAGCAAACAUAGAACAUUGCGGCAUUUUUCGGUAUUAAGCAGCAAUGUGCUUUCUGCAUCUAGAAGAAUUCCAUUUUAUGUAAACAAAUCGAAACGCUUAACAAACUUGUCGACAAUUUACGAUUGUACAAUGCACAAUUGAUCAACUUGCCCAAAUGUUGUAGACAUAUUUAUUGACUAGGAAAUAGAAUGUUUCUGGACGCAAAGGACAAGUUGUAGAUUAACCUUUGAGCUUCGCUGGGGCAUUAGAAAGCUAAAACAACAUGACAAGAUAAAGUAAUGCUGGUUAUUAGUAGGCAAGUAAAUGAUUUUGGUCAGUGGUUUACUCCUCGGCGAGAUGCUAAAAGGCUUUGUCUCUUUCGAAGGGGACGACUGGGAAUUAUUCACUUUCAAUAUUUCCACUGCAGUAUUGUAAGACACAGAAUUGACACCUAGAGCGACGAAAUAACCCAGCGAGAAAUGACUCGUCGGUCGAUGCCAAAUCGACAUAGACGAAUCGUGCCUCACUGGGAAGCGUGUCUCAGUGUCGAGGAGGCUCGUAUUGAACGGUGGUGUUGCGCAAAACACACAUAGCGAGCAUGUUUAUAUUUCAACCACCCUCGUAAAUUUCGACGCUAGAAUCGAGAGCCUUGUCCCUUCUCGGUCCGGUCCGGUCUUUCGACGCCUCGGCGAAAGGUGCCUGUACUUACGGAGAUCGAGGCACGCUCGGGGAACGGCGAAGCAGCCUCGCGACACUUUCCCUCCCUAGACUUAUCCGCGAGAACAAAGGAAGUUGGCGCGUGUUUACACUCGCACACCUCCGGUCACUGGGAGGAAGGGAACGGCACUUGCAACACUGGCAUCGGAAUCCGGCGAACGCCUUCGGCCGACGCGGAUUCCUAGCGCACGUAACGCACACACAAGCUCGGCGCACCACCAACCGCACCGGUCCGCACUGUCCGCAGCCGAGCGAGCGAAUUCGCUGCGCGUUCGUUUGGCUAACGGCCGCGAGCCGUUUGAUAAACUUGAAUGCGAACGCGGCGACGAAUCAGGAGGCGCCGUUGCGUUCGGUCGGCCGACACCGCGGCGCCACUCGGCACUUCCUGUCGCGGUCGGUAAGACAGGACUAUCGAACGCGCCGCGAUAUUAAUCGAUAUUAAUCGCCGUUCAAUUUGAAACGACGAGCCGUUCCCGCCUGUUUCUUGCCGCGCUCAUGUCCCCCCUUGGAUUCGUUAGCGUCUAAAACCUGAUCGGCGAGAAGGAGGCCCGGAGAAAUAAGUUGCUCCGACAAGGACAUAAGUUUGCAAAAUAUUUAUUGUCAAACUCAUCAUACAAAUACAUAUAAACCGCCACGUUACUAUAUGCCAGGCAGCGCAAAUUCACCACAAAAUUUUAAUGCUAAUUUAAAGAUUAUUAGUCUUUGUUUUAUAUUCUAAUUAACCGUCAUACUCAAUCCUUUCAUUCAUCCCUCACCAUUCGCUCUCAAUUUAAGGAUAUAGAUUUUGUUUCCGGUAGAAUUUCUUAAUAUACAUAAUAAAAAUGCAUUCAUCCAGCCAGGUAACGCACUGCUGCAAUACAACGUAUUACAAUAAAGCGAGUUCUAUAAAAGAAUACUAUUCACAAUGCUCUCUUUCAAAAAACCAGAUAGAAAUAAUUAUUUAAGGACACUUGCGUGCACUAAGUGUUUCUCUUACGUUUGCAAAGUUUAUAAAAUAGUAAAAUUAAGUUGAGCCUAAUCCGUAAAUGCGCGACAGGUGUGAAACUUCACUGCACUUCAUUGUAUUUUAUCAUCACAGAAAGCAGUUAUGUGUGAUUGCCACUUGAAAUCAUCAACUUUCUGAACAGGCAUUUGUGAACCAUGCAAAGGCACUUUCUCCGAGUGUCUCUAAUAAAAUAAGUGAUGCU